CGGCAACAGCUCAAAUUUGAAAUCUGGCCCUUUCAGGGUCCGAGUUGUAAUUUGUAGAGGGUGCUUUGGUGUUGGCUGCGGUCUAAGUUCCUUGGAACAGGACGUCACAGAGGGUGAGAAUCCCGUACGUGGUCGACAGUCUUCACCGUGUAAAGCCCCUUCGAC
RNAcentral lists this ribosomal RNA (165 nucleotides) under Nigrograna mackinnonii. Its description in RNAcentral is "partial large subunit ribosomal RNA". It matches the Rfam family "Eukaryotic large subunit ribosomal RNA", at positions 99 to 261 of the family's 3401-position model. Lineage: Eukaryota; Fungi; Ascomycota; Dothideomycetes; Pleosporales; Nigrogranaceae. The record is from RNAcentral.